This 1332-nucleotide long non-coding RNA is filed under the name Homo sapiens (human). RNAcentral's name for it is "HSALNT0056204". Lineage: Eukaryota; Metazoa; Chordata; Mammalia; Primates; Hominidae. The record is from RNAcentral.
UGUAUUUUUAGUAGAGACCCUCUACAGUAGAGCACACCCUCGGAAAAGCCACGCUGCACUCACUAUCUCAGGACCAGCUUGGGUGUCCCUGAAGGGCAGAACAAAACCUUUCCAAAGGCAAAGCCUCACUAUCAAACAGAGAAGAGGCCAGUGAAUGACAAGAGCUGAUUGAAGAGUUUCGGUGGAAAACACCUCACUGGUUUAGACCAAGUCCCUUCAGGGGACUGGACUGGGAGUAAGCAGAGGCCAUGCUUCCUGCCUGGCUUGGCAGGAGUGAGGGGCUGCUGGACGCCCACGGGGUUGCUGGCUCUGGAGAGGGAACUGGUAGUGCUGGAGGGUGAUCCAGGGGGAGCAGUCCCCACCUCCACCAUUGCUCAACCACCCGCCUGCUUUCUGCUCAGCUUUCCCCAGAGGCCUGCUGGGGGCUUGCUGCGCAGCCGCAAACAAAAAGGCCUCUUUGUAGAUCCUCCCCUAGGACGCUCCGGAGGAAACAGCUCCCCUCGAAGCGGUAUUCAGCAUUCACGGCUGUCACCCAGGAGUCCCUGCUGGGUGCUGGGCCCAGUGCCGGGAGCUACAAAGGGUAUUGCCUGUACCAUCUGCCUGGGUCUCAGACUGAGGAUGACGAGGAGCAGAGUGGCAGCCAACUCAUAAUAGGCUGCACAGACUGCAUCCCAUGUUUAGAAAAACGUCAAAGGAAGGCUUCCGUUCUCGCCAGCACCCGGGAAAAGCAGCUCCCUUACAGUGCAGGCAUUGAAGGUAUCCUUGGAGAGCCUCAGAUCCCCAGAAACAAGUGUGCUGGACCCCCAGGGGUGCCCGGGCCUCACUUUGAGAACAGCUGCCUUACAAGGGUACUUUGGAUUCAGUUGCUGGCGGGGACAGAGAGCAACAUGUCCCAGGGAAGCUGAGGAAGAACGUGGAUGGAAAACAGACUGCUUCUGGCGAUGUGAACCUUCCCUUACCUUAGGAAGAAGGGUAACCAGGGUGCACAGAAUGGCGAAUUGAGGACCUUUUCUUCUCAGUUCCUUCUUUAAAAUACUGAAUCCUACUGCAUCGAUUUUCAGGCCAUUGGGGAAACCUACCGUCACCGCCAAUCCUGACCUGUAAACUGCAAGUCAGGAGGAAUCCAAUAGGAUGGCAGAAACAGUCUUGACAUCUCACUUCAGAAGACAAUGUCAGUGCACUGCUUGCCAGAUGACAUCCUAUGCUGUGUUCCUCGGAGCUGCAAAUACUUCUUCCGGGUGGGGAGCAGGCCCCUGGGACACCGAAACUGGCUCACAUCCACAGGCAAUAUAGUAAUUAAUGGUGUCUUUCAGGGCAAGCGCAGUAAAAAAA